UAAGAAAAUUGAGGCAGAAGAGUCCUCAGGCUUGAAGAUGUGAUGAUUCUGGAUGAGCAACACUGGAACUAGCUCUCAACACCUCUCUGAGAACAACCAGCACUAGGGGACGUGGGAUCCAGGGGGUCGGAAAACACUCACUGUCCACUGGCAAGGAGCCUGGAAACAGAGAAAAUGGUGUGGGAUGUUGAAGUAUGUGGACGCUGGUGGGAAGAAGUGAGGGGUCAAAUGUCACUACUCAAUAUUUUGUCAAAGACUGCACAGACACCAAAUGGUUCAUGCGUUCAUUCAGCCAUUCAGUGUCUUUUUAUUGAACAUAACUCUGUGGCAGACCAGGAGCUGGGCUCAAGGGCGCCCCCUUCCCCCCAGCUUCCAGAAGCUUCUGGUUGAUUCCAGGAAUGGCAGAGUGAUGAGCAGGCAGAAAUCUUUAAGAGGGUUCCUUUUCUCUCCAUCUGUCCUAUAAUAGAUUCAUAGGUAGAUUUUUUUUUGAUGGAUGUCCAACAUCCAUUUUCUUUCUUUUGAUCUUAUCUUUUGGGAAUUACUCCUUAGCCAUGUGGUGUGACACUCAUAGGGCUGGCUUUUUUAAAAAAAAAAAUUUUAAUGUUUAUUUAUUUUUGAGACAGAGACAGAGUGUGAGAGGGGGAGGAGCAGAGAGAGAGGGAGGCACAGCAUCCGAAGCAGGCUCCAGGCUCUAGGCUCUGAGCUGUCAGCACAGAGCCCGGUGUAGGGCUCAAACUCACGAACCACGAGAUCAGGACCUGAGCUGAAGUCGGAGGCUCAACCCACUGAGCCACCCGGGUGCCCCACAGUGGGUUGGCUUCUGAUGCAAACCAGAGUGGCCAGGCAACUCUCUCUAGAAUUUGCUUUUGAAUGGAGGGACAUGGUAAUGAGAAAUGUCUGAACCUGCUUCAUCUAGAGUCCCGCACCCUGAAGAGACGUUCCUUUGGUUCCUGGAACUUUAAGACCCUGGUGCUGCCCACCUUCCUUUCUUUAUUGUGCAUUUACUCAUAUCAUAUCUAUAUGUAUAUAGACAUAUACAUCACACACACACACACACACACACACACACACAUUUUCCCCCCUUGUAUUGGCCAAUUGCUCUCUGUUGCUUGCAACCAAAGACGUCUAACUAAUACAUACCCUUUUCUAGCAUCUUUCUGCCUUGUUUUUCCUACCUGUAAAGUAAGAAUGGUAACACUUGCUACUUACCCUCGGGAGGUUGUCUAG
Molecule: long non-coding RNA, 1227 nt
Filed under: Felis catus (domestic cat)
Lineage: Eukaryota; Metazoa; Chordata; Mammalia; Carnivora; Felidae
Description: lncRNA (ENSFCAG00000052597.1)
Source: RNAcentral